This 406-nucleotide ribosomal RNA is filed under the name uncultured bacterium. RNAcentral describes it as "partial 16S ribosomal RNA". It matches the Rfam family "Bacterial small subunit ribosomal RNA", at positions 30 to 526 of the family's 1533-position model. The record is from RNAcentral.
AUUGAACGCUGGCGGCAGGCCUAACACAUGCAAGUCGAGCGAGCGGCGGACGGGUGAGUAAUGCCUAGGAAUCUGCCUGGUAGUGGGGGAUAACUACUGGAAACGGUAGCUAAUACCGCAUACCAUCAGAUGAACCCAUAUGGGAUUAGCUUGUAGGUGAGGUAACGGCGCACCUAGGCGCCGAUCCCUAGCUGGUCUGAGAGGAUGAUCCGCCACACUGGGACUGAGACACGGCCCAGACGCCUACGUGAGGCAGCAGUGGGGAAGAUUGCACAAUGGGCGCAAGCCUGAUGCAGCCAUGCCGCGUGUAUGAAGAAGGCCUGCGGGUUGUAAAGUACUUUCAGUCGGGAGGCGUUACCGACAGAAGAAGCACCGGCUAACUCCGUGCCAGCAGCCGCGGUAAUUC